This 490-nucleotide ribosomal RNA is filed under the name uncultured bacterium. RNAcentral describes it as "partial 16S ribosomal RNA". It matches the Rfam family "Bacterial small subunit ribosomal RNA", at positions 29 to 505 of the family's 1533-position model. The record is from RNAcentral.
AGUGAACGCUGGCGGUAGGCCUAACACAUGCAAGUCGAACGGCAGCACAGUAAGAGCUUGCUCUUACGGGUGGCGAGUGGCGGACGGGUGAGGAAUACAUCGGAAUCUACUUUUUCGUGGGGGAUAACGUAGGGAAACUUACGCUAAUACCGCAUACGACCUACGGGUGAAAGCAGGGGAUCUUCGGACCUUGCGCGAUUGAAUGAGCCGAUGUCGGAUUAGCUAGUUGGCGGGGUAAAGGCCCCCCAAGGCGACGAUCCGUAGCUGGUCUGAGAGGAUGAUCAGCCACACUGGAACUGAGACACGGUCCAGACUCCUACGGGAGGCAGCAGUGGGGAAUAUUGGACAAUGGGCGCAAGCCUGAUCCAGCCAUACCGCGUGGGUGAAGAAGGCCUUCGGGUUGUAAAGCCCUUUUGUUGGGAAAGAAAAGCAGCAGGUUAAUACCCCGCUGUUCUGACGGUACCCAAAGAAUAAGCACCGGCUAACUUCG